Molecule: ribosomal RNA, 390 nt
Filed under: uncultured bacterium
Lineage: Bacteria
Description: bacterial SSU rRNA
Rfam family: Bacterial small subunit ribosomal RNA
Source: RNAcentral
AGUGAACGCUGGCGGCAGGCCUAACACAUGCAAGUCGAGCGGCAGCGCGGGGGCAACCCUGGCGGCGAGCGGCGGACGGGUGAGGAAUGCAUCGGAAUCUACCUCGUUGUGGGGGAUAACCUCGGGAAACCGGGACUAAUACCGCAUACGACCUACGGGUGAAAGUGGGGGACCUUCGGGCCUCACGCGAUGAGAUGAGCCGAUGCCGGAUUAGCUAGUUGGCGGGGUAAAGGCCCACCAAGGCGACGAUCCGUAGCUGGUCUGAGAGGAUGAUCAGCCACACUGGAACUGAGACACGGUCCAGACUCCUACGGGAGGCAGCAGUGGGGAAUAUUGGACAAUGGGCGCAAGCCUGAUCCAGCCAUGCCGCGUGUGUGAAGAAGGCCUCGG